AAACUGGGGUUAAUUCCCGAUGGGUGAGGGGGCCUGGAAUGGUUCUUCACUGAAAGGGCGCUAGAGGCAUGCUCUCUAACGUUGCCCAAGGAUGGGGCCGCGGCCGAUCAGGUUGUUGGUGAGGUAACGGCUUACCAAGCCUAUAACCGGUACGGGCCGUGAGAGCGGAAGCCCGGAGAUGGGCACUGAGAUAAGGGCCCAGGCCCUACGGGGCGCAGCAGUUGCGAAAACUCCGCAAUGCACGAAAGUGUGACGGGGCUACCCCAAGUGCCGUCCGCUGAGGAUGGCUUUUCUCCGCUGUAAGGAGGCGGAGGAAUAAGGAGAGGGCAAGACUGGUGUCAGCCGCCGCGGUAAUACCAGCUCUCCGAGUGGUAGGGGUGAUUAUUGGGCUUAAAGCGUCCGUAGCCGGCCUGGCAGGUCUUCCGUUAAAUCCAGCAACCUAAUUGUUGGGCUGCGGGGGAUACUGUUAGGCUUGGGGGCGGGAGAGGCCGACGGUAUUCUCGGGGUAGGGGUGAAAAUCUUAUAAUCCCGAGAGGACCACCAGUGGCGAAGGCUGUCGGCUAGCACGCGCCUGACGGUGAGGGACGAAAGCUGGGGGAGCGAACCGGAUUAGAUACCCGGGUAGUCCCUGCUGUAAACGAUGCGAGCUAGGUGUUGGGGCGGCUACGAGCCGCUUCAGUGCCGCAGCGAAGGCGUUAAGCUCGCCGCCUGGGGAGUACGGCCGCAAGGCUGAAACUUAAAGGAAUUGGCGGGGGAGCACCACAAGGCGUGAAGCUUGCGGUUCAAUUGGAGUCGACGCCGGGAACCUUACCGGGGGCGACAGCAGGAUGAAGGCCAGGUUGAUGGUCUUGCUGGACGAGCUGAGAGGAGGCGCAUGGCCGUCGUCAGUUCGUGCCGUGAGGUGUCCUCUUAAGUGAGGUAACGAUCGAGACCCGCGCCCCUUGUUGCUAACAGACUCCAUCGGGGUCUGUGCACACUAGGGGGACCGCCGUCGAUAAGACGGAGGAAGGAGCGGGCCACGGCAGGUCAGUAUGCCCCGAAUCCCCCGGGCCACACGCGAGCUGCAAUGGCAGGGACAAUGGGUGUCGACUCCGAAAGGAGGAGGUAAUCUCUAAACCCUGCCUCAGUUGGGAUCGAGGGCUGAAACCCGUCCUCGUGAAUAUGGAAUGCCUAGUAAUCGCGCGUCAUCAUCGCGCGGUGAAUACGUCCCCGCUCCUUGCACACACCGCCCGUCGUUCCAUCCGAGUGGGGUUUGGGUGAGGCGUAGUCCUUGGUGGCUGCGUCGAACUCAGGUUCCGCAAGGAGGG
Molecule: ribosomal RNA, 1307 nt
Filed under: uncultured archaeon
Lineage: Archaea
Description: 16S ribosomal RNA
Rfam family: Archaeal small subunit ribosomal RNA
Source: RNAcentral